CUCCAGACUCCUACGGGAGGCAGCAGUGGGGAAUAUUGCACAAUGGGGGAAACCCUGAUGCAGCAACGCCGCGUGAGUGAAGAAGUAUUUCGAUAUGUAAAGCUCUAUCAGCAGGGAAGAAGGUGACGGUACCUGAGUAAGAAGCCCCGGCUAACUACGUGCCAGCAGCCGCGGUAAUACGUAGGGGGCAAGCGUUAUCCGGAUUUACUGGGUGUAAAGGGAGCGUAGGCGGCAGUGCAAGUCUGGAGUGAAAGGCGGGGGCUCAACCCCCGGACUGCUCUGGAAACUGUACGGCUGGAGUGCAGGAGAGGUAAGUGGAAUUCCUAGUGUAGCGGUGAAAUGCGUAGAUAUUAGGAGGAACACCAGUGGCGAAGGCGGCUUACUGGACUGUAACUGACGUUGAGGCUCGAAAGCGUGGGGAGCAAACAGGAUUAGAUACCCCCGUAC
This 447-nucleotide ribosomal RNA is filed under the name uncultured bacterium. RNAcentral's name for it is "bacterial SSU rRNA". It matches the Rfam family "Bacterial small subunit ribosomal RNA", at positions 329 to 793 of the family's 1533-position model. The record is from RNAcentral.